This 336-nucleotide ribosomal RNA is filed under the name Triticum aestivum (bread wheat). Its description in RNAcentral is "partial small subunit ribosomal RNA". Lineage: Eukaryota; Viridiplantae; Streptophyta; Magnoliopsida; Poales; Poaceae. The record is from RNAcentral.
AUGUCGUGGUCGUCGAGUGCUGCGUCCGCUCCCGGAUUUCGUCGAGCUGCGGGAAGGAGCGGGGAUGAGUCGCGCUCGCAGGUGCGCUGCCGCGAGAACCCAAUGUGCCACUGCAACCCUCAGAGGGAGGCGCCAAGAUGGAUCUCCUGGAGCCGGCAGAACCCUGGCAGGAGGUACUAUUGCUGCGUGGAUGCUAUGCAUGGUGGUUGUGGAUUUGUGGAGUGGCAUGAUGAUCCUUUGCCAAAAUUUUGGAGUGAGCUGAUUGGGGAUCUGUUGGAAAUAUGCCCUAGAGGCAAUAAUGAAUUGGUUAUUAUUAUAUUUCCUUGUUCACGAUAA